UGAAUUUCAUAGUGAGACUCUCUCUCAAAGAAACAAAAGUAAAAACAAAAUAAAACAGAAAAAAAAAAUUUUAAUCACUGGUUAAGUAGAAAGGACCAACCACUCAGCAAACCUUUCUAUUAUCCUGAAACUUUGCUGUGAUGCACAGACCUAAAUUCCAAUGGAAAAAUCACAGAAUACAGCAACCUGGAUGCAAAGAAGUGGAGAAGAGUCAGAGGGUACCAGGUUGGAGAGAGCAGAAAUGUCAUUUAUUUCUCAGGCUAUGGAGUUAGAAGAACCCAUAGAAAUUAAUAUGAGAGAAAAUCAGGACAGAUAACGGGCUGGAAGACAAGAAGUGCCGUUUUAUUUCCCUUACCUCCAUGGUUCUUUAUACUCCAUUUACUCACUUGCGCUCUGUCUCUCUCUCUGUCUCUCUCUGGCUCUGUGUUAUUAACAAUUAAUAAUAGCUUUAAGAUUUCGUAGCUGUAAGAUUUAGUGAUUACAUUAAUAUAUUUUCCAUACUUCUACCUAGCUUUCAUAUAGGUCUUCAUAUUUAAAAUGGGUUUGUUUUAGAAAGUACACUGUUGUUUCUUAUUUUUAUGUAAUUUGACAAUUUCUUUCUUAAUGGAAGCAUUUUGAUCAUAUAUAUUAAAAUAAUUUCUGUAGACAUGCAUUUAAGUCAACUGGCUUUCUAGUUGUUUUCCAUGUUUCAUCAUUUUCUUAUUCUUAAUUUUCCUGUUUUUCUGCCUGAUGGUGGAUUUAGUAUUUUUAUCAUUCAGUUAUAUUUUCUCUACUCUUGGCUUAUUAGCUAGGUCACUUUAAAAAAAAUAGUAGUUGCUCUAGGGUU
Sapajus apella (tufted capuchin) is the source of this 826-nucleotide long non-coding RNA. RefSeq lists it as uncharacterized. The record is from RefSeq and is a predicted model, not a curated record. The transcript has 2 exons. NCBI's taxonomy places the organism in Eukaryota, Metazoa, Chordata, Mammalia, Primates, Cebidae.